AAUGUGAGCAACAUAGCUCCACAGAAUGUAAGGUAAUCUCUGAUGAUGAGUCCAGUUUGGACGAAUCAGAUGAAUUGGACAGCUCCAUAAAUGAAUCCUCAAAUGAGCCCCCAACCAGGGUG
This is a long non-coding RNA of Sinocyclocheilus rhinocerous, 122 nucleotides long. RefSeq lists it as uncharacterized. The record is from RefSeq and is a predicted model, not a curated record. The transcript has 3 exons. Lineage: Eukaryota; Metazoa; Chordata; Actinopteri; Cypriniformes; Cyprinidae.